GGCUACACUUACUUAGGACAUUAGGAUGCCAUUCUCGGAUAAUUUAUAAAAAAUAUUGCAGAUUAUUUGUGGAGAAAAAUAUGUACAUGUUCACAUGUGACAUGCCCCACAAAAGAGUGAAGAGUUUUACCUGGUUAUUCUUCACUACAAAUUAAUGUUGUGAAGUUCACCUGAGGAAGAAAGAAACAAUCCCUUCUGAAUGACACACCAGCAGAAAUCUCUGAUAUUUUCAAAUGCAAUCAACUUUUUCUUCUUCAACAGAUUUCUCCUGAGCUGAGAGAAAGAAGAAAUGGGAUAGACUCAAUAGAAGGAAUAGAUUCUCUUACUACCUUUUGAGUGAUUUUCCAAAGGCCUUGGUGGAGCAGCAGCUUUCACCUGGGGCAGUGUGGGUGCCAGCUUCUUUUGCAGCUGGUGGAAAGCUCCUCAUCCUCAGAACCAGAGUAAUGUCCUGCCUGUGCAAAUUGACCGGGUGGUUUUGGUUUACUGCUAUUCCAAAGAGAACAGAGGAGUCACACACACAAAAGAACGAGCCAAUCUGAAUUUUGUCUGGGCUUCCUGCAGGUUUUGUGCAGUUUUUCCAGUUGCAAAAUUCUAGUCUGGAAUCUUGAAGCAGUGGGAGCUGUAUCUUGAAUCUUGGAGCUGUCUUAAUAAUGUUUCCAAAAGAAGGAAAUGGAAAGCAAGUUGUUGUGGUUUAACAUGGAGUUGAAAACUUGCAUGUGUAUUUAAUGGAGUCUCUGGAUGUGCUGGCUGUGAGUGAGAACAGGCUGAGUCACACAGAUGUGCACUUCAGAAAAGACUCUGAGGCUCCUCCUGGCCAGAUUAACUCCCAAGGUCUGAUUUAAUACUGAAACCAUCUCCUGCCCCUUUGAUGUGGGUUAAGCUCUUUUCAUCAUGCCUGUUUAGGAGCUGUUUAUUUUUCACUUAACCUUUCCCUUUGCAUUUGUUUAAUUAAAAGAUUUCUCGAGAAGUCACAUCACCACAGAGCCACGUUCCACUGCCUUUGUCAAGAUUAUAUAGAAGUGCUUCUCUAAUAAUUGUCCUGGGAUUUAGGAGAAUUCUGCAAACAGGUCACCUCCUGCCUCCAAGUCUGUUUCCCA
Molecule: non-coding RNA, 1097 nt
Organism: Zonotrichia albicollis (white-throated sparrow)
Lineage: Eukaryota; Metazoa; Chordata; Aves; Passeriformes; Passerellidae
Source: RefSeq, a predicted model, not a curated record